Molecule: long non-coding RNA, 546 nt
Organism: Cyprinus carpio carpio
Lineage: Eukaryota; Metazoa; Chordata; Actinopteri; Cypriniformes; Cyprinidae
Source: Ensembl
CAUGAGGGAAGAAAAACUAAAAGUCCAUGUUAACUUUAAUAACCCUGUUCUCAAUCAAGGGUCCAAGGCUCUCACUAGGGGUCCUCUUCAAAUUCCUAAGGGAGCACCAAGAUCUAAUUUGUUUUACAGACACCUUCUCCCUCGAGGGAUGUCUGGCUGAGACUGACUGUGAAUAGUGGACUUCUUGAUUGGAGUUAAGGCUGUUGGUGAGGAAUAACCAGGGUUUGAUCCGGGCUGACAGGCUCUCCCAGCGGGAAGGGCCCAGCACAUUACCACAGAUCCAUCAGCUGUCCAUCGCUGUAGGUCUCGGCGGUCCCGUGAAACUGUGGCAGGUAUAGAGGCACCUGUCAAGCUCUGAAUGCUGUGAGAAGGUGUGGUGUGCGACGAGGUGUUCCCAGCGGGCCGGUGGAAAGUUCAUGCUGUCAAUGGGACGAAAGAUUGGUGCAUGUUCGUUGUACUUGUUAGAGGACGAUGUUUUAUGUAUCAGCUGGUUAGAAAAAGUCAGAAGAGAUUGGCUUCAGUGAGGACUGGGGCUAUGUUUAAUUG